Molecule: long non-coding RNA, 195 nt
Organism: Bufo bufo (common toad)
Lineage: Eukaryota; Metazoa; Chordata; Amphibia; Anura; Bufonidae
Exons: 3
Source: RefSeq, a predicted model, not a curated record
AUGUCCGCAUACCAUAGAAGGGCGGUAUGAUUUGAGGUAUGAAGUCACAGCUGGCGGCAAUUGAUACAGCGGAGUGUUGGAGAUGGCUGAUGGCGUACUUGCCUGCCGGGAGUCCGGCGGUUGGCAUACCGCUCCAAGAUGUUAUUUGGUUUUGCCGUAUAAAAUAAAUAAGCUGUGGCCGAUCAUCACCCAGCU